Lepisosteus oculatus (spotted gar) is the source of this 670-nucleotide long non-coding RNA. RefSeq lists it as uncharacterized. Lineage: Eukaryota; Metazoa; Chordata; Actinopteri; Semionotiformes; Lepisosteidae. The record is from RefSeq and is a predicted model, not a curated record.
GCCUCACACACCUCUUUGCAAUCAGCCAGCUUUCCUUGACUGAGUUCUUACUCCCUGCUGCUUGAGCCUGAGCCUCUCGCUGAACUUGGGAGUUUUGUCCUGGACACCAUUUGGCUCAGGUGCUGAUCCUGCUCCAGAGCUUUUUAGGAAAUGGUUCAUCUCCUGCCAGGUGUAGUUAAGAAAAAAGCUGCCUGCGCAAUCAGUCUGUAGCCACGCCCACUCGCAUGACAUCACUCGCAGGCCACGCCCCGCGCACCUGUGCGCCAGGUUCAGCUGGAGAGAGCGGAGCUGAUUUAGGGAAGGACACGAUUCGCAUUAAAUAUUGGGAGUUUAAACUUCGGUGUCUGCGGACAGGACAUGCUUGGCUCAGCUACUGGAAUUAUCAAUGAAAUGCAACGAAGUUCCAGUCUUCAUUCCGGUCGCUGCCUCGACUGAUAACUCGGAGAAACAGUAACGUGCUGUGUGUUUCUGUAUCUUAACUUGUAGUUGUUUGCAAAUGUUUUCUUACUCUGUUGACUUGUAACAGUAUUUUGCGUUAAUGUAGCCGUGCUUUGACACUUCGUAAUUGAAAUGCUUGUUCAUUUUCACUUUGAAGCCUGUGCAUCCGACUUAUUGUAAUGCUUUGUUUUGUAUGCCAUUUUCGCUCAAUAAAUGGUUGAUUGAACCUUGA